GACGAACGCUGGCGGCGUGCUUAACACAUGCAAGUCGAACGGAAAGGCCCUGCUUUUGUGGGGUGCUCGAGUGGCGAACGGGUGAGUAACACGUGAGUAACCUGCCCUUGACUUUGGGAUAACUUCAGGAAACUGGGGCUAAUACCGGAUAGGAGCUCCUGCUGCAUGGUGGGGGUUGGAAAGUUUCGGCGGUUGGGGAUGGACUCGCGGCUUAUCGGCUUGUUGGUGGGGUAGUGGCUUACCAAGGCUUUGACGGGUAGCCGGCCUGAGAGGGUGGCCGGCCACAUGGGGACUGAGAUACGGCCCAGACUCCUACGGGAGGCAGCAGUGGGGAGUAUUGCACAAUGAGCGGAAGCCUGAUGCGGCAACGCCGCGUGCGGGAUGACGGCCUUCGGGCUGUAAACCGCUUUCGCCUGUGACGAAGCGUGAGUGACGGUAAUGGGUAAAGAAGCACCGGCUAACUACGUG
Molecule: ribosomal RNA, 468 nt
Filed under: uncultured bacterium
Lineage: Bacteria
Description: partial 16S ribosomal RNA
Rfam family: Bacterial small subunit ribosomal RNA
Source: RNAcentral